Molecule: ribosomal RNA, 301 nt
Filed under: uncultured bacterium
Lineage: Bacteria
Description: partial 16S ribosomal RNA
Rfam family: Bacterial small subunit ribosomal RNA
Source: RNAcentral
CAGUAGCCACGGUAAUACGAAGGGUGCAAGCGUUAAUCGGAAUUACUGGGCGUAAAGCGUGCGUAGGCGGUGAGUUAAGUCUGCUGUGAAAUCCCCGGGCUCAACCUGGGAAUGGCAGUGGAUACUGGCUCGCUAGAGUGUGUCAGAGGAUGGUGGAAUUCCCGGUGUAGCGGUGAAAUGCGUAGAGAUCGGGAGGAACAUCAAUGGCGAAGGCGGCCAUCUGGGACAACACUGACGCUGAGGCACGAAAGCGUGGGGAGCAAACAGGAUUAGAUACCCCGGUAGUCCCUGUCUCUUAUAC